This 548-nucleotide ribosomal RNA is filed under the name uncultured Glomeromycotina. RNAcentral describes it as "SSU rRNA". It matches the Rfam family "Eukaryotic small subunit ribosomal RNA", at positions 548 to 1097 of the family's 1831-position model. The record is from RNAcentral. Lineage: Eukaryota; Fungi; Glomeromycota.
UUGGAGGGCAAGUCUGGUGCCAGCAGCCGCGGUAAUUCCAGCUCCAAUAGCGUAUAUUAAAGUUGUUGCAGUUAAAAAGCUCGUAGUUGAAUUUCGGGGUCAGUAGAUUGGUCGUGCCACUGGUAUGUACUGGUCUUACUGGCUCCUCCUUCCUGAUGAACCGUAAUGCCAUUAAUUUGGUGCUGCGGGGAGACUGGACUGUUACUUUGAAAAAAUUAGAGUGUUUAAAGCAGGCUAACGCUUGAAUACAUUAGCAUGGAAUAAUGAAAUAGGACGUUCGAUCUUAUUUUGUUGGUUUCUAGGAUUGACGUAAUGAUUAAUAGGGAUAGUUGGGGGCAUUAGUAUUCAAUUGUCAGAGGUGAAAUUCUUGGAUUUAUUGAGGACUAACUACUGCGAAAGCAUUUGCCAAGGAUGUUUUCAUUAAUCAAGAACGAAAGUUAGGGGAUCGAAGACGAUCAGAUACCGUCGUAGUCUUAACCAUAAACUAUGCCGACUAGGGAUCGGAUGAUGUUAAUUUUUUAAUGACUCAUUCGGCGCCUUACGGGAAA